RNAcentral lists this ribosomal RNA (460 nucleotides) under uncultured bacterium. RNAcentral describes it as "partial 16S ribosomal RNA". It matches the Rfam family "Bacterial small subunit ribosomal RNA", at positions 338 to 795 of the family's 1533-position model. The record is from RNAcentral.
CCUACGGGAGGCAGCAGUGAGGAAUAUUGGUCAAUGGGCGGAAGCCUGAACCAGCCAAGUCGCGUGAGGGAAUAAGGCCCUACGGGUCGUAAACCUCUUUUGCCGGGGAGAAAGGGCGGGGACGUGUCCCGGCCCGGAGAGUACCCGGAGAAAAAGCAUCGGCUAACUCCGUGCCAGCAGGCGCGGUAAUACGGGGGAUGCGAGCGUUAUCCGGCUUGAUUGGGUUAAAGGGGUGCGUAGGCGGGCUUUUAAGUCAGCGGUAAAAAUUCGGGGCUCAACCCCGUCCGGCCGUUGAAACUGGGGGCCUUGAGUGGGCGAGAGGAAGGCGGAAUGCGUGGUGUAGCGGUGAAAUGCAUAGAUAUCACGCAGAACCCCGAUUGCGAAGGCAGCCUGCCGGAGCCCUACUGACGCUGAGGCACGAAAGUGCGGGGAUCGAACAGGAUUAGAUACCCCUGUAGUC